This 209-nucleotide long non-coding RNA is filed under the name Mytilus galloprovincialis (Mediterranean mussel). Lineage: Eukaryota; Metazoa; Mollusca; Bivalvia; Mytilida; Mytilidae. The record is from RNAcentral.
CACGGUCUUUAUCAAAGGCAAUAGUUCAUAUAGAAGCUUCUUAACCGCCUCGUGUCGAGGCACAUUUUGAUUCAAAAUUAACUCAUGAUAGAUACCAGGAUUAAAAUUUUGUAUUUGCGCCAGACGCGCGUUUCGACUCCCCAUGGCCAUUAGACAACAUAAUAUCUGUCACUUGAAAUUAUUUUCUUUUUGUACACUUACGAUUUUGG